UCCUCCGUGGCGCAAUUGGCUAGCGCGUUCGACUGUUAGCUAAAGUUUCAUGUGUGAAACCUGGACGUUCUGAUAUCGAGAGGUUCCUAGUUCAAGCCUAGGCGGGGGAG
Molecule: non-coding RNA, 110 nt
Organism: Delphinella strobiligena
Lineage: Eukaryota; Fungi; Ascomycota; Dothideomycetes; Dothideales; Dothioraceae
Source: the annotation of a GenBank genome assembly